Molecule: long non-coding RNA, 829 nt
Filed under: Cavia porcellus (domestic guinea pig)
Lineage: Eukaryota; Metazoa; Chordata; Mammalia; Rodentia; Caviidae
Description: lncRNA (ENSCPOG00000040554.1)
Source: RNAcentral
GCCGGACUGAAAUAAGCAGACCCCAGCCUCUGCCCGGGGCUCAGCGCCAUUCACAGACCAGGGGUAGAGAGAGCAAUGGACACAUCAGCCAGCAAACCCAGUCUGGGAACCAGCACCCUGCGUGCACAGCCGGCCCCCGGCCCCUUCUGGUGCGCGGGCUGUCAGACAAGAAGUAGUGAUCCCCCACCCUUCGCCAUAAGCAACUGGCUUCUCUGGAGAAACACAGCUGUGGUGAUAGCUGUGCAGCCCCACUCUGCCAGGCGGACUUCCGAAGGAGGGUCGGACCCCACAUCUGGGCUCCAGAGUCCUCUGACUCCCUCGCCCUGCCUAACUCCCCAGCGCAGCCCAAUCAGCUGGUGAAAAGGGACACGGGCUUGGUCAAGGGUUUGUCUUCAGAGUUCCCGGUCAAGAAGCAGAGAUUUUUUAAGAGAGAGGAUGCUCCAGCCAAACCAGCCUCAUACCAAGAAAGAAGACACAAAUCCUAGCAAGAGACGACCCGAACCGAGAGAAGAGAAGGGCCCGGCAGCUGCCCAGCAGGCGCAGGACGUUUCAGCACUGCGGGCUGCAGGUGCUUCCAUCUCCCUGCAAACGACCCCGGGGUGUUCUGACUGCGGACUUGGACUGCACUGCGGUAGAGAUCAGUCAUUGAUGUCGCUGAUCCACCAGCGAUGGGUGACAGGUGCAGGCUGCUUCCCCCACACUCAGCGCCCUGACCCCUCCCACCCCAACGUCCCCUUUCCAGGCUUGUUUGGGAAAGAGGUUGGUUGGAAAUACAUCUGGCUACAGCCAAGAACCGAGGCAUGCGGGUCAUGUCGUGUCCGUGUCUCUA